RNAcentral lists this ribosomal RNA (254 nucleotides) under uncultured bacterium. Its description in RNAcentral is "partial 16S ribosomal RNA". It matches the Rfam family "Bacterial small subunit ribosomal RNA", at positions 524 to 776 of the family's 1533-position model. The record is from RNAcentral.
GACGGGGGGAGCAAGCGUUGUUCGGAUUUACUGGGCGUAAAGGGCGCGUAGGCGGCCACCGCAAGUCGACUGUGAAAUCUCUGGGCUUAACCCAGAACGGUCAGCCGAUACUGCGGGGCUAGAGUGCAGAAGGGGCAACUGGAAUUCUCGGUGUAGCGGUGAAAUGCGUAGAUAUCGAGAGGAACACCUGCGGCGAAGGCGGGUUGCUGGGCUGACACUGACGCUGAGGCGCGAAAGCUAGGGGAGCGAACGGG